GCCCCGGCCUGGUCUGAUUUUUGUGUUGUUUUCAUUUUCUCCUCUCUGUUUCGAUAAGGCUGAGGCGAAGCUCGAGCGGCGGAGCAGAGGAGGAGAUUCUCCCUGUCCAUGGCGAUUUCGUGAACUUCCAGCGCUCGAGCUUCAUUUCUGUCCCCUUUCUAUUCGCUCCCCGGUGUCGUGGUUGGUUAUUCCUCUCUGUCGCUCUGUCGAGUAUGAUGUUCUGCUUGUGUUUGUUCCAUAUCUAGGCCAGUUCAUGUCACCCUCUCGCCUUCUGAUGCAGCCGCUGGUGGGUGUGAUUUCUAGGUUUUGUGGUUGUUGUGGUCGUCUCUGGUGGGCUGCUGUUGUAGUUUGUAGAUGCAGCGGGGUUUCCCCUUGUUUCUGUAGAUGUAGCGUGGGGGUUUCUAUAGAUGUAUCAGUAGCCUGCGGGAUUUCUCUUGCUUAUGUUCUGCUCAUGUGCCUGUACGCGAGGAUUAUGUAGAUUCCUAGGUCUUUCCGUGAUGCUACCUGCUCAUGUGAAGCUCUUUCUAGUCCCUGAUUUCGGCUGCUGAUUUUUUGUUGUUAGAUGUAGCUGUUUAGUUCCCCUUGGUACAUGUUUAUGUACUUCUAGAGGCAUGAUAUUUGAGUUUAAUUUUAGUGUAUUUUGUCUCAACCUUUCAGUGUAAUUUACUUAGUAUUUCGUCUCUAAUUUGUUAGUUGGUUGGUUUGGCUUGACAGUGUCUUUUUUAAUGUAAUUUCAGUGUAAUUUGUCUCAGCUUUGCAGUGUAAGGAUUUACUAUGUAAUUUAUCUCAGUAUUGCACUGUAAUUUGUUUCAGCAUUUCAGUGUAAGGAUUUACAGUGUAAUUUAUCUCAGUAUUGCAGUGUAAUUUGUCCCAGUCUUUCACUGUAAUUUACCUGUAAUGUUUUCCCGUGUGAUUUGUUUGGAUCGCUUCUUGUUGUAGCAAUCUAUUGAGAAAUCUUCAGCAAGCAGAGAUGGUGAUGUUCCCCCUUGCAAUGCCUUGCUUUUUGAAAUGAAUGUGCAGAAAUCGUUUGGUGCUCGUUUUGGGUUUGAGGCUUCCUAGGUAGUUAUAGACCUUGUUCAAGCUAGGAACAAAGACAAGCACAAGCUAUUUGUUGAAUGGUCACAAUCCCUUAUAAUUGAUGUUCUAGAUUGCUUAUCACACUCAUCUCUGAAUGUCAAAUCUGUUCCUACAAGUGAGGUUCAUUCUCUUUAUAAGUUCUCUUCUGGUACUAAGUCUAUUUUCUAUUCACUCUUUCAUUGCUGAGAGGAACUUUGAAACUGCUGUUGACAAUCCAUCUCCUCAAGUCGAGCGGCAAAUCCCCAAUUUGAGUCCGUGCUUGAGUUCAUUUUAGCUACUGCGAUACUGGGAUCAACAUCUUCAGUGUCCUGCAACUUUUAGGGAUUUCUUUUAGUUUUUUUUCUGAAAUGUUUCUCCUUUUAUGUUCUUCAGUUGAAAAUUGUUGUGUGUACCUGUUGCAGAUUCAUGUUGUAGAACAGGUUUGUGUCCCAGGGAUUAGAUUCUCCUCCACCAUCUUCGCUUCGCUGCCUCUUCAUGAUGCAAGUCUAGCUCCGAUGUCUGCAAGAUGAAGCAAUUUCUUUGUGAUUUGUUCAAGCAAGAGGUGAAGAGGGGUUUGCCCUUUGCGUGCGUUCCACUGUGGGCAUGUGAUGUGUCGUCCUGGAGAUCAGGCGGAUGCUGGCCCCUGAUUUUCUGGAGGGGUUUGUUGUCCAGGACGAACCGGGUCAAAUGUUUAGCCCAACCCGUUUAGGCGUUCUUUUUGUUAUCUGUUGAUAUUUCUGCUAUUUA
Long non-coding RNA from Aegilops tauschii subsp. strangulata, 1803 nucleotides. RefSeq lists it as uncharacterized. The record is from RefSeq and is a predicted model, not a curated record. NCBI's taxonomy places the organism in Eukaryota, Viridiplantae, Streptophyta, Magnoliopsida, Poales, Poaceae.